GCAAUUCCAAGUCUGCUGCAAACUCGUUGGCUCAGUCUGAAGAAGUACAAGGUGCUGAAAGCAUUGAGAACAGUGAGCAGCAGGAUUCUGAAGAGGAUGAUGACAAGAAUUCAGAUAAAGAAGGCAUUGCAAAUGAGAAUAGGAAAUUGAAAGAGGAAGUAGCAGGUGAUAAAAAGAGGAAGAGGGAUGUCCAAACACAUUCAGUUAAGAAAGGUGCUGGACAAAACAGCGGUGCAACUAAAAAUGGAAAAACAGAAAACCAAGUGGUGGCAACAAAAAAGAGGGAAAAGAAGAAACCCCUUCCUAGAGAGGAAAUUGCAAAAGCUAGGGAGGAGAAGAGGAAAGCACUUAGGGAAGCUACACGAAAAGCCACGAUGAAGAACAAAUGAGGUCUGGUGAUAAGCCGAAGAUAUUUUACCAGAGGUGACAUGAGCGAACAUAAAACAAGAAACUCUGGUGAUUUUGUGAAAGCUCACCUCGCGUAUUAUUAGCACCUGCCAGCUAGUUGUAAUAUUUUUGUUAUUGGUUGAUGACUUUGAGAUGAAGAGAGCUGGAGGUCGUGUAUGAUUUUGCUUUAGAAAACAACU
This 587-nucleotide unclassified non-coding RNA is filed under the name Hevea brasiliensis (rubber tree). The record is from RNAcentral. Lineage: Eukaryota; Viridiplantae; Streptophyta; Magnoliopsida; Malpighiales; Euphorbiaceae.